GACGAACGCUGGCGGCGUGCUUAACACAUGCAAGUCGAACGGAAAGGCCCUGCUUUUGUGGGGUGCUCGAGUGGCGAACGGGUGAGUAACACGAGAGUAACCUGCCCUGGACUUUGGGAUAACUUCAGGAAACUGAGGCUAAUACCGGAUAGGAGCUCCUGCGGCAUGGUGGGGGUGGGAAAGUUUAGGCGGUUGGGGAUGGACUCGCGGCUUAUCAGCUUGUUGGUGGGGUAGUGGCUUACCAAGGCUUUGACGGGUAGCCGGCCUGAGAGGGUGACCGGCCACAUUGGGACUGAGAUACGGCCCAGACUCCUACGGGAGGCAGCAGUGGGGAAUAUUGCCCAAUGGGCGGAAGCCUGAUGAAGCAACGCCGCGUGCGGGAUGUCGGCCUUCGGGUUGUAAACCGCUUUCGCCUGUGACGAAGCGUGAGUGACGGUAAUGGGUAAAGAAGCACCGGCUAACUACGUG
RNAcentral lists this ribosomal RNA (468 nucleotides) under uncultured bacterium. RNAcentral describes it as "partial 16S ribosomal RNA". It matches the Rfam family "Bacterial small subunit ribosomal RNA", at positions 28 to 507 of the family's 1533-position model. The record is from RNAcentral.